GAGUCAGCCAGGAGGCCGUGGAGAGGACAGGUUGGCUGUCUCCUUUGCCUGUAGGUGGUCUGGGGCCCCAGCAGUGGGAGACCUGUAACUUCAGGCACCACUGGAAGAACUUAAGCCCAGAGAAGGAAACGGCUCUUCCACUCCCCAGCGCCCCUCCCCAGAUGGUGCAUCAGAACCUGGAGGGUUGCAGGACAAUCUCAAGAGCAGCAGGCAGACAUCUGAACCGUGGUAAGGUUUUGGGGCCCAAGGCAGGGAAGCCCGUCCCCUAAGGACAAAGGGGAGCUUGAUCACUUCCCAGGGAAUGACCACUAAUCCAACCCAGAGCGGUUGGGGGCGGCAGGAGAGUCUUGCCCAUUUGGAUGAACCUCUUGUCCCCACUAACAAAGUGAAAGUGGUUCACUGGAUCUGGAGACAGGAACUGGAAAAGGGGAGGAAAUGGGCCAAUAGAGCGGCAAGUGCAGCAAGGUAGAGAUUGCUGGCAGGGUGGCAAGAGUGGCUUGCCACCCCAACUGGGAGUGUGUGGGUGCAUGUGAACCCACCCGGGACACGAGAGACACUUGUUUCAUCUGAUGAGGAGUCCCGGGGC
Molecule: long non-coding RNA, 586 nt
Filed under: Homo sapiens (human)
Lineage: Eukaryota; Metazoa; Chordata; Mammalia; Primates; Hominidae
Description: HSALNT0313803
Source: RNAcentral